UGGGCAACCUGCCCCUCUCUCUGGGAUAACCCCCGGGGAAAACCCGGAGCUAAUACCGGAUACUCCGGCUGGAUCGCAUGGUCCGGCCGGGAAAGGUCCGCCGGAGAGGGAUGGGCCCGCGGCCUAUCAGCUUGUUGGUGGGGUCAUGGCUCACCAAGGCGACGACGGGUAGCUGGUCUGAGAGGAUGGCCAGCCACAUUGGGACUGAGACACGGCCCAGACCUCCUACGGGAGGCA
RNAcentral lists this ribosomal RNA (237 nucleotides) under uncultured bacterium. RNAcentral's name for it is "partial 16S ribosomal RNA". It matches the Rfam family "Bacterial small subunit ribosomal RNA", at positions 118 to 350 of the family's 1533-position model. The record is from RNAcentral.